UACGGGGGGUGCGAGCGUUGUUCGGAAUUAUUGGGUGUAAAGGGCGCGUAGGCGGUUUUACAAGUCCGGUGUAUAAGGCAACAGCUUAACUGUUGUUUUGCGCUGGAAACUGUGAGACUUGAGUUUAGGAGGGGGAGCUGGAAUUCCAGGUGUAGGGGUGAAAUCUGUAGAUAUCUGGAAGAACACCGGUGGCGAAGGCGAGCUCCUAGCCAUAGACUGACGCUGAGGCGCGAAACCUAGGGGAGCGAGCCGG
This 253-nucleotide ribosomal RNA is filed under the name uncultured bacterium. RNAcentral's name for it is "partial 16S ribosomal RNA". It matches the Rfam family "Bacterial small subunit ribosomal RNA", at positions 524 to 776 of the family's 1533-position model. The record is from RNAcentral.